GGUGAAGCUGGAGAUAUUUCGGAUGAUAAUCUACCUCACUUUCCCUGUGGCUAUGUUCUGGGUUUCCAAUCAGGCCGAGUGGUUUGAGGACGAUGUCAUACAGCGCAAGCCGACCCUGCCCUGAUGUGGGGCUCUGGAGGCCUUUGGCUCGUGUCCCAUUUGUGACUUUUCCUUACAGAGGGAGCUGUGGCCACCUGAGAAGCUUCAAGAGAUAGAGGAAUUCAAAGAGAGGUUACGGAAGCGGCGGGAGGAGAAGCUCCUUCGCGACGCCCAGCAGAACUCCUGAGGCCUCCAAGUGGGAGUCCUAGCCCCUCCCCUGAUGAAAUAUACAUAUACUC
RNAcentral lists this long non-coding RNA (338 nucleotides) under Homo sapiens (human). RNAcentral describes it as "HSALNT0255233". The record is from RNAcentral. Lineage: Eukaryota; Metazoa; Chordata; Mammalia; Primates; Hominidae.